RNAcentral lists this ribosomal RNA (510 nucleotides) under uncultured bacterium. RNAcentral describes it as "bacterial SSU rRNA". It matches the Rfam family "Bacterial small subunit ribosomal RNA", at positions 1000 to 1509 of the family's 1533-position model. The record is from RNAcentral.
GCAGAGAUGCUUUGGUGCCUUCGGGAACUCGUGAGACAGGUGCUGCAUGGCUGUCGUCAGCUCGUGUUGUGAAAUGUUGGGUUAAGUCCCGCAACGAGCGCAACCCUUAUCCUUUGUUGCCAGCGGCUCGGCCGGGAACUCAAAGGAGACUGCCGGUGAUAAACCGGAGGAAGGUGAGGAUGACGUCAAGUCAUCAUGGCCCUUACGGCCAGGGCUACACACGUGCUACAAUGGCGCAUACAAAGAGAAGCGACCUCGCGAGAGCAAGCGGACCUCACAAAGUGCGUCGUAGUCCGGAUUGGAGUCUGCAACUCGACUCCAUGAAGUCGGAAUCGCUAGUAAUCGUAGAUCAGAAUGCUACGGUGAAUACGUUCCCGGGCCUUGUACACACCGCCCGUCACACCAUGGGAGUGGGUUGCAAAAGAAGUAGGUAGCUUAACCUUCGGGAGGGCGCUUACCACUUUGUGAUUCAUGACUGGGGUGAAGUCGUAACAAGGUAAGCGUAGCGAG